Molecule: ribosomal RNA, 674 nt
Filed under: alpha proteobacterium IMCC14771
Lineage: Bacteria; Pseudomonadati; Pseudomonadota; Alphaproteobacteria
Description: bacterial SSU rRNA
Rfam family: Bacterial small subunit ribosomal RNA
Source: RNAcentral
AACGAACCGCUGGCGGCAGGCCUAACACAUGCAAGUCGAGCGCGCCUUCGGGUGAGCGGCGGACGGGUUAGUAACGCGUGGGAACGUACCCUUCUCUACGGAAUAGCCUUUGGAAACGAAGAGUAAUACCGUAUACGCCCUUUGGGGGAAAGAUUUAUCGGAGAAGGAUCGGCCCGCGUUAGAUUAGAUAGUUGGUGGGGUAACGGCCUACCAAGUCUACGAUCUAUAGCUGGUUUUAGAGGAUGAUCAGCAACACUGGGACUGAGACACGGCCCAGACUCCUACGGGAGGCAGCAGUGGGGAAUCUUAGACAAUGGGCGCAAGCCUGAUCUAGCCAUGCCGCGUGAGUGAUGAAGGCCUUAGGGUCGUAAAGCUCUUUCGCCUGUGAUGAUAAUGACAGUAGCAGGUAAAGAAACCCCGGCUAACUCCGUGCCAGCAGCCGCGGUAAUACGGAGGGGGUUAGCGUUGUUCGGAAUUACUGGGCGUAAAGCGCACGUAGGCGGAUUGGAAAGUUGGGGGUGAAAUCCCGGGGCUCAACCCCGGAACUGCCUCCAAAACUAUCAGUCUAGAGUUCGAGAGAGGUGAGUGGAAUUCCAAGUGUAGAGGUGAAAUUCGUAGAUAUUUGGAGGAACACCAGUGGCGAAGGCGGCUCACUGGCUCGAUACUGACGCUGA